RNAcentral lists this unclassified non-coding RNA (3028 nucleotides) under Hevea brasiliensis (rubber tree). The record is from RNAcentral. Lineage: Eukaryota; Viridiplantae; Streptophyta; Magnoliopsida; Malpighiales; Euphorbiaceae.
GGCAUUGCUAGAACAAAAAAUUAGAAAAAGCUACUAUUCAUAUAAUUCCAUCAAAUUUGUAAUGAUUAAAAUGGUCUACGUCUUGUACCAAAGAUGUUCUUAUUUAUUUCAGUCCAUCCAUUACAAGAUUUGAAAAAUCAAGGACUCAAGACAAGUACACUCGAUUGACAAAUGCUGUAGCAAUUCACUUCCAACGGCUGAGAGCAAUAGCUACAUAUGCCACGUAAUCGUCUUUCCUCCAUUUUCUUGUUUACAUCUAUGACACCAACUACAAUGCGAUGGUAAGUAGCCCCCGAUUCUAGGACAUGUUAAUGGAACAUCUCGUCUAAUUUCUGCCUGUAUUGAGCUAAUCUCUGCAUCAACAUAGCAUUGGUGUCAGUGCUCUUUUUAGAUACUUUCAGGAGAGAAAAUAAGGGGGUAAAAAGGAAAAGAAAAAUUCAUAGCAACAAUAAAUUGGUGCUUCCAUUUAUUCUCUCAAUAAGGUAAAAUCCAUAAUCUCAAUUUCACAACCACUGCAGCACAGGCAAUCCCAAAUCCAUUGGCUGUAAACGCUGUUUUAGCUGCUCCUGCAGUGAAAGCAGGUUGCUGCAUGCUGCUCAGGGACUUCUCCAGGGCAUUGAACAGUUGGCUUAGAACCUAGUAUAUGCAUAGACCCCAGCCUCAGUUGGUCCUGCAGGACUUCCCCUUCUAGUGAACCUCCCCUCUUUGAAUAUGUAAAGCAUAGGUAUUCCGGUUGAGAGUUCUAAACUUAUAACCUCCUGAGAAGUUAAUUUGUCAAGAUACAUAAUUAUGGACCUCAACGAAUUUCCAUGGGCAGCAAUCAUUACAUGCUUCCCAGAACAAAGCUGGGGUUCAAUCUGAUCUUUGAAAUAAGCAACAGCUCUUUUAGCACACAUCUCCAAACUCUCUCCAUUUGGUGGAGGUAUGUCAUAACUUCUCCGCCAUUCAUGAACUUUUUCCUUGCCAAAUCUAUCUGCUGUUUCCUGCUUAUUCAGACCUUGUAAUUCCCCAUACCUAUACAGAAUACCAAAUUACACGUUUUGCAGUAAAAAUAAUAAUAAUAAUAAAGUCAGGAUUACAGGUAAAAAGAGUAAGAGUGGAAACUAUAUGAUUACAUUCUUUCAUUUAAUUGCCAAGCCGUUAUAACUGGAAUGGAUUGCCUCAUUGUGUCUUCACUAAAAAUUUGACUCCAUGCCCUUGCCUGUUCACUCUCAUUGUGCAUGAUGAUUGGCACCUUUCUACGACGGUGUUGAGUCAUGGCAAGCAUAGCAGUCAUCUGUGCACGGAUCAAGGAUGAUGUAAAUAUCAUGUCGACAGGUAUAUUGCUGAUUCUCUUACCAGCUUCAAUUGCCUCUUCCACACCCUUUUUUGUCAAUGGCACAUCAACACAACCUGUGAACAGGUUCUUUUCAUUCCAUAAUGACUCACCAUGCCUAACGAGUAUCAGAGCUGCCUCGCCUGAAUUAGAUUAGGAUACCAGUGAUAUAAAGGGAUAUGUUCAGUCUUCAGCUCAGGAGAUAGCAAGUAAUAUAAAUCACAGGGACUAAUAUAAGUAUGCAAUCAACUACUGCAAUUUGGAAUAUUAGGAAUUUAUGUCACCAAAUUCCACAUAGAGAAGGCCUUUUUCAGAAUUGGUUUGAUAAUUGAUAUAAAUGUCUACUUUCAAUAACUGGAUGUGAAAUGUUGAGUAGAAUGAAACUGGCUUACUUGAUUUCUUUUGAAAUUCAUUGGUGCUGUCAUUUGAGGGGGUUGAAACUGGAUCAACCAAUGAAGUUUGAGACGCUGAGGCUUGAACAGCACUAAAAUUCCUCUUAUUAGAGCUGUAACCUUCCAUUCUCGACGUUGACAAUCCGACAUCAAACUUUAAACCUUUUGAAAUCGAUUUCACCGACACAUUUCCAAACUCUCGGUGAAAUUCAGAAUUGUGAAGAUGAUGGGAUAGAAGAGUCCCUAUUGCCGGGUGAAACACAGCACUGGCCAUUCUGAAAAUUCAAGAGAAAAAACAAUUAUUGAUGUAAGGAAACAAAAUAUACAAAUGGGUUUCCUCCGUUUGACAAGCAGCACCUGCAUCACUUGAGGGAAAGGCAUCAUGUACGAAAUUCUAUACUAGCUCAGAAAGCAUUAGCAAACAGAAUAUAGCAUAUUCCUUUCUCACGGUCAAAGAAGGCACAGAAAGGGACGAAGAACGAACUUGAAGUAAGGCCAUUCAAACCAGCUCAUAAUCAUGUUCCUUGCUGAAAGCUUUUAUGGCAAAUUAAAUCAACACCAAUAGCAAAUAUAUAUCGGUAUUUGAAGAUGGCUGCUAUUAUCACAAAAAGUAGUGAAAACUGGCGAAUCAAAAGCCCAAGUCCCAUUAAAAUCUCAAAUAUAACAUAAACAAAGGCCAGUUAAGAAUGUGUGAGAAAUAUUAUGAGCGAAAGCAAAGAUUAAAUAUUACCCAAAAAAAAAUAAAGAUAAAAGAAACAGACCUUAAACGAAAAGAAGACAGCAACCCAGAACUCAAAAAUAACAAAGAACAAAGAAAUGCCAGAAAGAAGCAGACUUUAGAUAUCAAAGAAAGAUAUCAAAGAAAGUGGGUAGGAGAAUAUCACCUGGUUAUAUAGGCGCAAAAGCGAUGAACACGAGGAAAAGAAAAUAAAGUUAGAAGAAAUGGGGAGAAUUUAUUACAAGAAAAGGUGACGGAGAGGAUGAUGGGAUGUGGAAGAACGGAGCAUGCUAAACGUCCAUUUCAAUUCAAAAAGGACAGAAAACAGAGGGAAAGCUAGUUAGAUGGGUAUGUGUGGAAUCAUAAAAGUAGAAAAAAAUCGAUGGUGGCUGUCUUAUAGAUGCUGCGAUGACGAUGCUAUCUAUUCUGAAAUUUUGAGUUUCUAUGCGAUCCUAACUCGAAAAAUAUUUGCCUCUUUGUUUGUUUUUAUAUGAUAAAACUGAAGAUUUUACGUUUUUUAAGGCGCAAACAACCAGAGCUAACCAAAUAUGAUGGUCAUGACCAUCGGAGAUUCAGGACUUAUGAUUAGAGAUUAUUAUCAUC